AGAAAAAUUUACUUAUGUGAAAGCAGAAGCUACAUAAAAAUCCGUUAAAGCUCAGUCAUAUCAUAAGGUGUCAUAUCAAUAUACUGAUCACAGUGUAAUACUAUUAUUUCUUUAUAGGAGUAAAAGUUAUUCAUCCUGUGGAGGAGGCACCCAUGGUUACGACAAUGAGUUUAAGAGCAUGGAGGCUAUCUUUCUGGCACAUGGACCCAGUUUUAAAGAGAAGACUGAAAUUGAACCGUUCGAAAAUAUUGAACUCUAUAACCUAAUAUGUGAUCUUCUACACAUUGAACCAGCACCAAACAAUGGUACCCAUGGCAGUUUAAACCAUCUUCUGAAGGUGCCUUUUUAUGAGCCAUCCC
Molecule: long non-coding RNA, 359 nt
Organism: Equus quagga
Lineage: Eukaryota; Metazoa; Chordata; Mammalia; Perissodactyla; Equidae
Exons: 3
Source: RefSeq, a predicted model, not a curated record